UGUAUAAUGGGUCAGCGACUUAUAUUCUGUAGCAAGGUUAACCGAAUAGGGGAGCCGAAGGGAAACCGAGUCUUAACUGGGCGUUAAGUUGCAGGGUAUAGACCCGAAACCCGGUGAUCUAGCCAUGGGCAGGUUGAAGGUUGGGUAACACUAACUGGAGGACCGAACCGACUAAUGUUGAAAAAUUAGCGGAUGACUUGUGGCUGGGGGUGAAAGGCCAAUCAAACCGGGAGAUAGCUGGUUCUCCCCGAAAGCUAUUUAGGUAGCGCCUCGUGAAUUCAUCUCCGGGGGUAGAGCACUGUUUCGGCAAGGGGGUCAUCCCGACUUACCAACCCGAUGCAAACUGCGAAUACCGGAGAAUGUUAUCACGGGAGACACACGGCGGGUGCUAACGUCCGUCGUGAAGAGGGAAACAACCCAGACCGCCAGCUAAGGUCCCAAAGUCAUGGUUAAGUGGGAAACGAUGUGGGAAGGCCCAGACAGCCAGGAUGUUGGCUUAGAAGCAGCCAUCAUUUAAAGAAAGCGUAAUAGCUCACUGGUCGAGUCGGCCUGCGCGGAAGAUGUAACGGGGCUAAACCAUGCACCGAAGCUGCGGCAGCGACACUAUGUGUUGUUGG
This 617-nucleotide ribosomal RNA is filed under the name Escherichia coli. Its description in RNAcentral is "partial 23S ribosomal RNA". It matches the Rfam family "Bacterial large subunit ribosomal RNA", at positions 609 to 1227 of the family's 2925-position model. The record is from RNAcentral. Lineage: Bacteria; Pseudomonadati; Pseudomonadota; Gammaproteobacteria; Enterobacterales; Enterobacteriaceae.